This 69-nucleotide transfer RNA is filed under the name Enterococcus faecium. RNAcentral describes it as "tRNA-Glu". It matches the Rfam family "tRNA". From Rfam's summary of the family: Transfer RNA (tRNA) molecules are approximately 80 nucleotides in length. Lineage: Bacteria; Bacillati; Bacillota; Bacilli; Lactobacillales; Enterococcaceae. The record is from RNAcentral. RNAcentral also lists the same sequence under 3 other names.
GCCCGUUGGUCAAGCGGUUAAGACACCGCCCUUUCACGGCGGUAACACGGGUUCGAAUCCCGUACGGGU